AGAUGCAUGAUGAGCAUAUUUUCUGAGUAUGUUGAGAAAAUCAUUGAAGUUUUUAUGGAUGAUUUCAGCGUCU
This is a small nucleolar RNA of Pyrus x bretschneideri (Chinese white pear), 73 nucleotides long. RefSeq annotates it as small nucleolar RNA SNORD109A. The transcript has a single exon. The record is from RefSeq and is a predicted model, not a curated record. Lineage: Eukaryota; Viridiplantae; Streptophyta; Magnoliopsida; Rosales; Rosaceae.